UGGAGAUGAUUAUGAUGAUGAUGAUGAUGAUGUGGAUGUGGAUGUGGAUGUGAAUGAUGGUGACGAGGCACAGUCACUGGGGUCCUCUUCUUCUUCAGCAUGCUCAUCAUCUUCUUUG
This 118-nucleotide microRNA precursor is filed under the name Drosophila guanche. The record is from RNAcentral. Lineage: Eukaryota; Metazoa; Arthropoda; Insecta; Diptera; Drosophilidae.